GAAAUGCGAUAAGUAAUGUGAAUUGCAGAAUUCAGUGAAUCAUCGAAUCUUUGAACGCACAUUGCGCCCGUUAGCAUUCUAGCGGGCAUGCCUGUCCGAGCGUCAUUUCAACCCUCAGGGUCCCCGUUUCGGCGGGGAACCUGGUGUUGGGGAUCGGCCCGCCCCGCGCGGCGCCGUCCCCCAAAUCUAGUGGCGGUCUCGCUGCAGCCUCCCCUGCGUAGUAGUUUACAACCUCUCACCGGAGCGCGGCGCGGCCACGCCGUAAAACCCCCGACUUUCUGAACGUUGACCUCGGAUCAGGUAGGAAUACCCGCUGAACUUAAGC
RNAcentral lists this unclassified non-coding RNA (325 nucleotides) under plant metagenome. RNAcentral's name for it is "partial contains 5.8S ribosomal RNA, internal transcribed spacer 2, and large subunit ribosomal RNA". The stretch from base 1 to 105 matches the Rfam family "5.8S ribosomal RNA", at positions 50 to 154 of the family's 154-position model. The record is from RNAcentral.